Molecule: ribosomal RNA, 427 nt
Filed under: uncultured bacterium
Lineage: Bacteria
Description: bacterial SSU rRNA
Rfam family: Bacterial small subunit ribosomal RNA
Source: RNAcentral
UGGGGAAUAUUGCACAAUGGGCGCAAGCCUGAUGCAGCCAUGCCGCGUGUAUGAAGAAGGCCUUCGGGUUGUAAAGUACUUUCAGCGGGGAGGAAGGCGAUACGGUUAAUAACCGUGUCGAUUGACGUUACCCGCAGAAGAAGCACCGGCUAACUCCGUGCCAGCAGCCGCGGUAAUACGGAGGGUGCAAGCGUUAAUCGGAAUUACUGGGCGUAAAGCGCACGCAGGCGGUCUGUCAAGUCGGAUGUGAAAUCCCCGGGCUCAACCUGGGAACUGCAUCCGAAACUGGCAGGCUAGAGUCUUGUAGAGGGGGGGAGAAUUCCAGGUGUAGCGGUGAAAUGCGUAGAGAUCUGGAGGAAUACCAGUGGCGAAGGCGGCCCCCUGGACAAAGACUGACGCUCAGGUGCGAAAGCGUGGGGAGCAAACA